Molecule: long non-coding RNA, 1480 nt
Filed under: Chrysolophus pictus (golden pheasant)
Lineage: Eukaryota; Metazoa; Chordata; Aves; Galliformes; Phasianidae
Description: lncRNA (ENSCPIG00010004605.1)
Source: RNAcentral
AGUCACUGCUCCGACUCCGUACAGAUGGGCUGUAUCCUAUCUUCAGGACAAGAGGUGAUGGCCUUAAGUUGUGGCAGAGGAAAUUCAGGUCGGAUGUUAGGAAAAACUGGUUCUCAGAAAGAGUGAUGAUGCACUGGCACAGACUGCCCAAGGAAGUGGGGGAGUCACCAUCCCCAGAGAUGUUUAAAGAAAAAGAUAUCAUACUUAGGGACAUGAUUAGUGGGCAAUACUGGUGAUAGGUGGAUGGUUGGAUUAGAUGACCUUAAAGGUGUUUUCCAACCUUAAUGAUUCUAUGAUUCUAUGUACAUUUUUGAUGUAUGAAAUUCUUGCUCAUAAAUUACCAGCCUUGAAGACUGUGCACUGGAGGUCUGAAGUUCCCAUCCAGAGAAAAGAGAGCAUGUCCAUGAAAAUGUGGUUGGAGGAACCACAGAGGGGAGAAGGAUUGAAUACAGGAGAUAACACCAGCAGAUAAGAGCAGCUCAGCCCCAGAAGCCAAGUGCCUGAAUCUCAUGUUCCACAGAUACGUCCAUUGGCCCAAAUGGAGUCUGACCACCACAUCUGGAACGGAACGUCUGAAAACCGAGCAGGAGAGGAAGGGGGAGCAGGAUGGGUAAAAACUCUUCCAUAAGGCUAUUUCAUUUCAACAACGUCAAAAGAUUUUGUUUCAAAUGUCAUGUUGAUUCAUUUCAUUUUGACUUUUGUAUUAAAAUACUAAUUGCAUUAUAUAUAAAUGUUGACAUUCUAUGAAUAUAUUAAUACAUUAAUAUUGCUGUAGAGUAUAACAGUCCGUACAAAAUGAAUGGAAAAGACAGUGCACAUACCAGAUGUGUGAGUCCUGUCUAAAAUGAAACUUCUCAUGGCCUCAAACAUUUUCAGAUUUUCUUUCUGCCUUGUGUUUCAUCUGUUCCUCCUGUAUUGGACCAAACCAGACUGUCUGAGAAAGAGCUGCAAGUAAAGCAAAGCUUAUAAAAGGUGUUUUCCAAAAUGUACAAUAUCACAGAAUCAUAGAAUCACAGAAUCAUAGAAUCAUAGAAUCAUAGAAUGGCCCGGGUUGAAAAGGACCAUAAUGAUCAACUAGUUUCAACCCCCUGCUAUGUGCAGGGUCACCAACCACCAGACCAGGCUGCCCAGAGGCUCCCGUGUCCUCACACUUCCCAGAGCAGAAUACCAAUAGUCCGAGGACCUGUCUCCUCAGUCUUGUAAACAUGUGCUCUUUUGAUGUCCUCUGUCUCCAAGUUUUGGCUCCAUUUCACUUGGUCUGCUCUUCCAUGCUCCCUCCAGUGCAUCACAGCCAACACAGUGCUGUUGGUGGAAGGGUCCAUUCAUUCCUCUGCCAACAACACUGAGAGAGCGGCUGCUCAUGCAAUGCAAUGGGAAACAGAAAAUAUUUAGCCCCCAAGAAAACUCAGUGACACUACAGAACUUUGCUUUAGUUUAAUACCCACUGACACUCAUUUUCUGCUCGCAUCUAGAGAGCGUU